GACUAGCCAUCCUGGCUUGCCUGGGACUGAGGGGUUUCCCAGGAUGUAGUACUUUCAGUGCCAAAACUGGGACAG
This 75-nucleotide microRNA precursor is filed under the name Choloepus hoffmanni (Hoffmann's two-fingered sloth). Its description in RNAcentral is "miRNA (ENSCHOG00000015842.1)". Lineage: Eukaryota; Metazoa; Chordata; Mammalia; Pilosa; Megalonychidae. The record is from RNAcentral.